GUCAAGCUACAAAGGGCUCACGGUGGAUACCUAGGC
Molecule: ribosomal RNA, 36 nt
Filed under: Cyanobium sp. Suigetsu-CG1
Lineage: Bacteria; Bacillati; Cyanobacteriota; Cyanophyceae; Synechococcales; Prochlorococcaceae
Description: partial 23S ribosomal RNA
Source: RNAcentral